UGGGGAAUCUUGCGCAAUGGGCGAAAGCCUGACGCAGCGACGCCGCGUGAGGGAGGAAGGCCUUCGGGUUGUAAACCUCUUUCAGGAGGGACGAAGCUACUCGGGUGAAUAGCCCAGAGGGUGACGGUACCUCCAGAAGAAGCCCCGGCUAACUACGUGCCAGCAGCCGCGGUAAUACGUAGGGGGCAAGCGUUGUCCGGAUUUACUGGGCGUAAAGCGCGUGUAGGCGGCCACGCAGGUCCGUUGUGAAAACUGGAGGCUCAACCUCCAGACGUCGACGGAAACCGUGUGGCUAGAGUCCGGAAGAGGAGAGUGGAAUUCCUGGUGUAGCGGUGAAAUGCGCAGAUAUCAGGAAGAACACCAAUGGCGAAGGCAGCUCUCUGGGACGGUACUGACGCUGAGACGCGAAAGCGUGGGGAGCGAACAGGAUUAGAUACCCUGGUAGUCCACGCCGUAAACGAUGGGUGCUAGGUGUGGGAGGUGUCGACUCCUUCCGUGCCGUAGCUAACG
This 510-nucleotide ribosomal RNA is filed under the name uncultured Actinomycetes bacterium. RNAcentral describes it as "bacterial SSU rRNA". It matches the Rfam family "Bacterial small subunit ribosomal RNA", at positions 355 to 857 of the family's 1533-position model. The record is from RNAcentral. Lineage: Bacteria; Bacillati; Actinomycetota; Actinomycetes.